This 343-nucleotide ribosomal RNA is filed under the name uncultured bacterium. RNAcentral's name for it is "bacterial SSU rRNA". It matches the Rfam family "Bacterial small subunit ribosomal RNA", at positions 1 to 334 of the family's 1533-position model. The record is from RNAcentral.
CUAGCGACUUCAGAGUUUGAUCCUGGCUCAGGAUGAACGCUAGCGGCAGGCUUAACACAUGCAAGUCGAGGGGCAGCAUAAACAUUGCUUGCAAUGUUUGAUGGCGACCGGCGCACGGGUGCGUAACGCGUAUGCAACCUACCCAUAACAGGGGGAUAACACUGAGAAAUUGGUACUAAUACCCCGUAAUAUUAUGAAAGGCAUCUUUUAUAGUUGAAAGUUCCGGCGGUUAUGGAUGGGCAUGCGUUGUAUUAGCUAGUUGGUGAGGUAACGGCUCACCAAGGCGACGAUACAUAGGGGACUGAGAGGUUAACCCCCACAUUGGUACUGAGACACGGACCAA